RNAcentral lists this ribosomal RNA (1014 nucleotides) under Triticum aestivum (bread wheat). Its description in RNAcentral is "partial small subunit ribosomal RNA". Lineage: Eukaryota; Viridiplantae; Streptophyta; Magnoliopsida; Poales; Poaceae. The record is from RNAcentral.
AUGUACGUGGGGCUGGCGCUGGUGCUCCUCGCAUACCUCCCCGUCGCCUUCCUCUGCCGCCUCGUCUACAGGCUGCUGAUCAGGCCCUUCGCCGCCGGCGAGGACCUCCGCGGCAAGGUCGUGCUCAUCACCGGCGCCUCCUCCGGCAUCGGCGAGCACCUGGCGUACGAGUACGCGAGGAAAGGCGCGUGCGUGGCGCUGGUGGCCCGGACGGAGAUCGCGCUGCGCGCCGUGGCCAAGACGGCGCGGGAGCUGGGCGCGCCGGACACGCUGGUGGUGCCGGCGGACAUCACCGACGUGGACGAGGCCAAGCGGGCCGUCGAGGAGACCCUCGCCCACUUCGGCAAAUUGAAUCACCUGGUGGCCAACGCGGGCGUGUGGUCCAGCUGCUUCUUCGAGGAGAUCACCAACGUGUCCGCCUUCCAGAACGUCAUGGAUCUCAACUUCUGGGGCGCGGUGUACCCGACCUACUUCGCGCUGCCCUACCUGAAGGCCAGCCGCGGCAACAUCGUGGUCACCGCCUCCGUGGCCGGCAGGGUCCCCGUGGCGCGGAUGAGCUUCUACAACGCGAGCAAGGCCGCGGUGAUCCGGUUCUACGAGACGCUGCGGGCGGAGCUGGGGCCGCACGUCCGCGUCACCAUCCUCAUGCCGGGCUACGUCGUCUCCAACCUCACCAUGGGCAAGGGCGUGCAGAAGGACGGCAACGUCGGCUUCGACGAGGACGCCCGCGACAUAAACGUCGGGCCGCUGCCGGUGGGGAGGACGGAGACGCUGGCGGAGGUGGUGGUGGCGAGCGUGCGGCGGGGCGACAGCUACGUGACGUGGCCCGGGUGGUACUGGCCGUUCCACAUGGUGAUGUGCGCCGCGCCGGAGCUCGUCGACUGCUUCUCCAGGGCCUUCUACGUCUCCAAGUCCAGCGACAAGGACGGCGACGCGCUCAGCAAGAAGAUCCUCAUGGCCGUCGGCGGCGACAAGUUCUACCCCAAGAACAUCCGCUCCUCCCAGCCCCAAUAA